This 331-nucleotide ribosomal RNA is filed under the name uncultured eukaryote. RNAcentral describes it as "partial 18S ribosomal RNA". It matches the Rfam family "Eukaryotic small subunit ribosomal RNA", at positions 1470 to 1796 of the family's 1831-position model. The record is from RNAcentral.
CCCUUAGAUGUUCGGGGCCGCACGCGCGCUACACUGACGAAGUCAGCGAGCAUGUCCUACGCCGACAGGUGCGGGGAAUCUUGUCAAACUUCGUCGUGAUGGGGAUUGAUUAUUGAAAUUCUUGAUCAUCAACGAGGAAUUCCUAGUAAGCGCAAGUCAGCAGCUUGCGUUGAUUACGUCCCUGCCCUUUGUACACACCGCCCGUCGCUACUACCGAUUGAAUGGUUUAGUGAGAUCUUCGGAUUGGCGCCACUGCGGCUCAGCAAUGGGCUCGGUGGAUGCCGAAAAGUUGAUCAAACUUGAUCAUUUAGAGGAAGUAAAAGUCGUAACA